This 352-nucleotide long non-coding RNA is filed under the name Dromaius novaehollandiae (emu). Its description in RNAcentral is "lncRNA (ENSDNVG00000009956.1)". The record is from RNAcentral. Lineage: Eukaryota; Metazoa; Chordata; Aves; Casuariiformes; Dromaiidae.
AGAGCAGUGGAGCCCGGUCCCCGGUAGCCCAGGUAGACGUCUGCUGCCGCAGUAAAUACUAACAGACAACAAACGCAGACGACUGCUUCCCGAGUGCCGCCUGGGAAGCGCGGGGAGCGCUGGGCGGGAGGGACUUUCUGGGGCGCCGAGUCCAGCCCUGGGUAACUGCGGGACCCGUAUACGCACGGGCAGUGUCAUCCUUCUAAGUGACAGCACUCUUGGAGGAAAAGUAAAGAAAAAUAUCGUUGGAGAGCACUGGAUCCUGAUCAUUAUUACUGAGAACAGAUUCAUCAACAUGAAAGUAAUCGCAUUAUGGAUAAGCCGUUACAUUAACUCUAAUCCAAGAAUUUGA